Molecule: ribosomal RNA, 595 nt
Filed under: bacterium enrichment culture clone PA_45
Lineage: Bacteria
Description: bacterial SSU rRNA
Rfam family: Bacterial small subunit ribosomal RNA
Source: RNAcentral
GCUGGCGGCAUGCCUUACACAUGCAAGUCGAACGGCAGCAUGAUCUAGCUUGCUAGAUUGAUGGCGAGUGCCGAACGGGUGAGUAAUACAUCGGAACGUGCCCUGUAGUGGGGGAUAACUAGUCGAAAGAUUAGCUAAUACCGCAUACGACCUGAGGGUGAAAGUGGGGGACCGCAAGGCCUCAUGCUAUAGGAGCGGCCGAUGUCNNNNNNGCUAGUUGGUGAGGUAAAGGCUCACCAAGGCGACGAUCAGUAGCUGGUCUGAGAGGACGAUCAGCCACACUGGGACUGAGACACGGCCCAGACUCCUACGGGAGGCAGCAGUGGGGAAUUUUGGACAAUGGGCGAAAGCCUGAUCCAGCAAUGCCGCGUGUGUGAAGAAGGCCUUCGGGUUGUAAAGCACUUUUGCCCGGAAAGAAAUGGCCUUGGUUAAUACCUGAGGUCGAUGACGGUACCGGAAGAAUAAGGACCGGCUAACUACGUGCCAGCAGCCGCGGUAAUACGUAGGGUCCAAGCGUUAAUCGGAAUUACUGGGCGUAAAGCGUNNNCAGGCGGUUGUGCAAGACCGAUGUGAAAUCCCCGGGCUUAACCUGGGA